Salvia splendens (bonfire salvia) is the source of this 1789-nucleotide RNA transcript. It is a transcript of the gene named STOREKEEPER protein, with no coding region annotated. Lineage: Eukaryota; Viridiplantae; Streptophyta; Magnoliopsida; Lamiales; Lamiaceae. The record is from RefSeq and is a predicted model, not a curated record. The transcript is spliced from 2 exons.
AAAGAGAAGACCAUGGCUCCCAAAUCAUCCUUUCUCUCUCAUCAGCCCACUAAAGAUAAGGAUGAGAGUGAAGAAUCAUCCUCAGAGGAAGAAGAAGAAGGUGGGAGAGAAGAAUCAGGGCCCCAAUCUUCCGAGACAGAUUCGUCCGACGACGAAACGGAGGCCGUGUCCUCCUUCGAAAAAGCCAAAAAUCGACCAACCCUAGAAAAUCUCAAUUCCCCAAUCCCCGCCCCCAAAUUCGAUCCAAGAUCGGCCUCCCGACAUAGCGACACUGAUUCGGACGGCUCCCCUUCUAGUUACGUGAUGCAGCCGAUCACCAAGGGCUCCGUCUCCUCAUCGAAGCGCAAUCGUGGCGAGAUUGAGGGGGAUUCGUUGAGGAGCUGUAAGAGCUUGCGAACUGAGGAGAAGAAAUCGGUUUCCACUCCGGCCGGAGGGGGUGGGGUGGGGUGUAUCAACAGGCUGUGGAGUAAUGAGGAUGAGAUCGCUGUGCUGAAUGGGAUGAUCGAAUUCAAAAUUGCCAAGGGGUCCAGCCCUAGCGCCGAUAUGGGGGCGUUUUACAGCUUUAUAAAGGGGAAAUUGAAGGUGGAUUUCUCGAGGGAUCAGCUGAGGUCUAAGAUUACAAGGAUGAAAAAGAGGUUUUUGAAUGCUUUGAAGAAGGGAGAGAAGGGUUCUGACCCUGUCUUCUCGAAGCCUCACGAGGAUAUGGCGUUCGUCCUCUCAAAGAAAAUUUGGGGGAAAAGUGUGGAUGUGAAGAAGAAGCUGGAUGAGGAUGUGGUGGAUGAGAGAGAGGUUGUGGAGCGAGAAGGGGAUGGCGAAGGAGUGGAUUUCUGGUCCAAGUAUCCGAACAUUAAUGCGUCUUUUGAUAAUAUGAAGGCGAGCUUCCCCUCUCUCGUUGCUCCGGUGGCUGGGAUGAGUUUGUUGAAGGAGAGGUUGAGUUUGAUUGGGAAUGUGAAGGCCAAGGAGUUGGAUGAUAAGUGGAAGCAGUUGCUUGGGGAGAAGACUGAGCUGGAUUACAAGAUUUUGAUAUUGAUGAAGGAACAGGUUCAAAUGGCUUUGGAUCAGUAAUAGGGUUGGGAAUUGCUACGUUGGUAACAUUUUUUGGCUUGAAUUUAUACCUUUUUAGAGUCAAUUGUGAUUCUCCAUUUUGAUUUGCAAAAUGGAUUUUUUGAUAAAUGUUUAAAAUCUUGCUUAUGAUAAUGGUUGCUCUGUGAUGAAUUUAGUUCUCGAAGUACUUAUUCAUUAAGCUAUGUUUCUUGUUAACAUUUGAGUUGUGUUGUGUUCCAGAUAUAGAAGGACGUUUUUGAUGACAAAAAUUGAGUGUGAAAACAAAAAAUGAUAGAUGAUGAAUCAUGACUAGAUUUUGAUGCUGCAUCUUAGUAUUGAUGUUGGGCCACAAUUGCCUAGAAGAGACAUUCUUAGUUUACAUUUGGUGGGAGUUUACUGUUUUGAACAUUUAUAUGACCUCUGCCUCAUGCAAAGCUCUCUGCUCUGACUGCUCCUCCCUUAUGCUUGACUAAGCCCACUGCUCGGAUUUGUUUUUUCUCUAGUCUUUGGAUGGGGUUGUUGCAGGGCUGAAUCUGUAGAACUCGACAGCCUUACAUUGUACGUAUGUCUGAGGAUGUUAGGUCGUUUUGAGUGAUGUCUCUUUUGUAGAAUGCUUCAAUACUUCCCAAGUCUUAGAGUUCUGCAGUUAAGGCUUAUACUAUAGUUCAUGAGAAGGUUUUCUAUGAUUGUAAUUUUGUUAUUUAUAUUAUAGAAAUAAGGUUUGCUUGUGCCUUGUGGAAGGUGA